CGCACGAGCGUCAUUACAACCCUCAAGCUCUGCUUGGUAUUGGGCAGCACCGUCCCGGUGCGCCUCAAAAUCAGUGGCGGCGCCGCUCGGCUUCAAGCGUAGUAAUUCUUCUCGCUCUGGAGGCCCGGGUGCGCACCUGCCAGCAAGCCUAAUUUUCCAAAGGUUGACCUCGGAUCAGGUAGGGAUACCCGCUGAACUUAA
RNAcentral lists this unclassified non-coding RNA (201 nucleotides) under Helotiales sp. RNAcentral's name for it is "partial contains internal transcribed spacer 2 and large subunit ribosomal RNA". The record is from RNAcentral. Lineage: Eukaryota; Fungi; Ascomycota; Leotiomycetes; Helotiales.